CAUCCGCCUGGGUACUACGAGCACAGCUUAAAACCCAAAGGACUUGGCGGUGUCUCAAACCCACCUAGAGGAGCCUGUUCUAGAACCGAUAAUCCUCGUUAAACCUCACCACUUCUUGUCCUUCCGCCUAUAUACCGCCGACGUCAGCUUACCCUGUGAAGCCCAACAGUAAGCAAAAUAGGCUAGCCAAAAACG
Molecule: ribosomal RNA, 195 nt
Filed under: Chaca sp.
Lineage: Eukaryota; Metazoa; Chordata; Actinopteri; Siluriformes; Chacidae
Description: partial 12S ribosomal RNA
Source: RNAcentral